RNAcentral lists this ribosomal RNA (384 nucleotides) under Triticum aestivum (bread wheat). RNAcentral describes it as "partial small subunit ribosomal RNA". The record is from RNAcentral. Lineage: Eukaryota; Viridiplantae; Streptophyta; Magnoliopsida; Poales; Poaceae.
AUGGCUGUUGGCAAAUUGUCAGUGGUGUGGGUCAGAGCUAAAGGAGUGCCUAAAACCAUGAAAAAUUAUCAUGGAUUGUGUGAGGUUGGUUCCAUGAUUGGGUAUACACAAGCUGUUGACAUGGAUUUCCUGAAUAUGAGUGGUCUAGUCAGGCUGAAGAUUGUUGUGGUUGAUCACACAAAAAUUCCCAGAUGGACUAAACUGACAACUCCUAACCUCAUGGUUUACAUAAUUUUCUUUGAAGUCGAGGAGGUGGUAGAUGAGGGGUGGGCUAGAGAUGAAGAUGAGCUUUCCCAGGGAUAUGAAGAAUGGAUGGAUCUCCAACAUGAAGAGGGUGAAAGCAGGGAUGCAAAGAAAGCAAAGACUAGGGAAAAGAGACUCUGA